Molecule: long non-coding RNA, 2608 nt
Filed under: Equus asinus (donkey)
Lineage: Eukaryota; Metazoa; Chordata; Mammalia; Perissodactyla; Equidae
Description: lncRNA (ENSEASG00005036633.1)
Source: RNAcentral
CUUCUCCCUGCACACUGUGGACAUCAGGGCCGGGUCACUAUCUGGGGGUCUGUCCUGGGCACUGUGAGGGGUUAAGCAGCAUCCCUGGCCCCACCCGCUCGAUGCCAGGAGCUCCCCCAGUGUGACACCCACAGAUAUCCCCAGAUACUGCCAAGGGUCCCUGCAAACUAAUAAGGAGGCAAGCCAGUCACUCUCCUGUGCCCAAGAUUUAGGGGGUGCCCAAAACGCCAGUCAUCAAAGUGAAUGGUGUCAGUGCGACAUUUUAACAAUUCAAAACGAGUGCAAAAAGUCUAUGAUGAACAAAAUGUCGAAAUUUUAAAUGCACAUGGGAUGGAACUGCUGUGUGCAGCCAUUUCGGAGCUCGAGACAAAACGAGAAAGGCGCGCCCCUUCAAACGUGGUUUUACGUCAGUUUUCAAUGGUUAACUCCCGCCCCCCACCCCGCAAACGUUAAAGUGGUUGAAAAAGGAUUAAAGCACUGAAAAGGAAUUGUAUUAAAGUUCAAAAUAGUUUAAGCUUGAAUUAGGUUCCACUAAUACCAAAACCUGAAUUUAUUAGAAUUUUUCCUUUCCUGGCUUUCAUGGAAGCAAACUCGGCUCUAUUUUCAUGAAAACCACUAAGCUUUACAAAAAUAUAUAAAAAUUUGUGCCCAGGGGUACGCGUUUCCUUUUGCUUCAGGCGGGCCGUGGGGCUGUCUACCCGGCAGGAGUUAAACGUUGUUAACCAGAUUUCAGAGCGACUCGCUCAUCUCCCAGGUCACCACUCACGGGUGUUCACCUGACGGGUUUAUUCAUUUAUGUCUGAAAUAAGAUCACGCCUUAUUUGACAGGCAGUGAAUGAAUCCCUUGCUGGUGGACUAGUUAGAAAUGGUCUGGGCAGCCGGUCAGAAACGGGGGACACUAUUUUCAGAGGGGGUAUGGCCUCUGGGAGAUGAGCUUUAGGUGGAAUAAUACGGACAGAGAGGUGGGUGGUGAAGGCCACCACUUGUGUUAAAGGACAUACAGCUGUCAUGGGCUGAAGAAGGUGUGUCCCCCCUGAAAUGCAUCUGUUGAAGGCCUAACGGCCAGCGUGGCCAUCUGGAGACCAGGCCUCUAAGGAUGUAGCGAAGGUUAAAUGACGUCAGAGGACGGGGCCCUAAUCCCAUAGGAUUCGUGUCAUUCUAAGAGGCAGCAGACAGCUCCCUCGCUCUCUCUCUCCCUCCCUCUGUGCGUGUCAAGGAAAGGCCACGUGAGGACACGGCGAGAAGGCGGCCAUCUGCCCUCACCAGAAACCGCCCUGCCAGCACCUUGAUCUCGGCCUUCCAGCCUCCCUGCUGUGUGAGUGACCCAGUCCGCGGGACUCUCUUACAGCGGCGGAGCAGACAGUAGAACAGCUGUUCCCACAAAUAUGCUUAAAAUAUGCUUAUUGAUGCAGAGAAUGUUUCUAGAGUUUUCAAGACCUGGGCGAGAGUUGGAGAGAAGUGGGCCCAGGGUACCAGGGAGGGAAAUGACCGUGCCCUGCAUGUCCUCGUGUGCCUGCUCGUUCUUUAUCUCUCACGGGACGGGUUAACACAUCUACAAGUUCUGAUACCCUUCCUUGAUGCAGAGCCCGACCGCCUUCCCUCGAGUGUGGGCGGGACUUAGGGAGUUGCUCCUAACCAACAGGAUGUGGAGGAAGUGACGGCGUGACACUCUGGAGGGUAGGUCAUAAAAGGACUGUGGCCUCCAGCUGGCUCUCUCUGGGGAAGCCAGCCGCCAUACUGUGAGGAGGCUCAGGCGGUGCUGUGGAGAGGCCCACCUGGAGGGGGAGCCGAGGCCUCCCGUCGGCAGCCACAAGAGGGAGCCAUCCUGCAAGCGGCUCCUCCGGCCCCAGUCGAGCCUUCAGAUGAGGCAGCCCCGGAUGAUAGCUUAACUGCCACCUCAUGAGAGACCCUAAGCUAGGACCCCACAGCUAAGUUACUCCCAAAUUCUUGACUAACAGAAACCAUGAGAUAAUGCCUGUUUGUUGUUUUAAACCACUCAAUCGUGGGGUAAUUUGCUAAGUAAUCAGUUUCUGCCAGCCACCGGGAAGCUCCUAGAUUUGCAAAAGUUUGGAGCUGAAAGGACCCCCAGGUCACCAGAGCCACUGGGCCUGCAAUCAGGGUAACCAAGUCCCCAGCAUGACCAGGUGCAGGCAGGCAGGUUUCAGAGCGAGGUUUAAUGCUGUGUGCACUCGAUCAGAGAUGUUUCUAGAAACACAGAAAGUCCUGAAUUGCACUGUGGAUUUCCUCGCGGUCCAUCCUGAGGGCUUGGACUGUUCCAGAUGCAGAUGGAAGGAGCAAGCACCACUGACACCUGGAGGGGGAGCAAGGCAGGGUGAGCAGAGGGCUCCGGGCCGUCGUGCUUAUGACAAAGAGCAAGCCGCGACGAGGAACACAGACGCCACAGCCAGGCUCCAAGGGCAAAUCUAGCUGUGCCCCUUAGGGGCUGCGUGUCCUGGGCCUCAGGUCCCCAUCUAGAAAUGGUGUGUAAGUGGCGUGCGCACACCAGACCGCCAUGUGGGCAAUGAGCUAGUAACACGGGCAGUGUGGUCAGCACAGCGACAGCGACGGGCACGUCAGAGACACAGAGGGUGAGCCCAAGGUGUCAUUA